GAUGAAGAACGUAGCGAAAUGCGAUAAGUAAUGUGAAUUGCAGAAUUCAGUGAAUCAUCGAAUCUUUGAACGCACAUUGCGCCCCCUGGUAUUCCGGGGGGCAUGCCUGUUCGAGCGUCAUUACAACCCUCAAGCUCUGCUUGGUGUUGGGCCCCGCCGCCCCGGCGGGCCCUAAAAUCAGUGGCGGUGCCGUCCGGCUCCGAGCGUAGUAAUUCUUCUCGCUCUGGAGGUCCGGGUGUGUGCUCGCCAGCAACCCCCAAUUUUUUUCAGGUUGACCUCGGAUCAGGUAGGGAUACCCGCUGAACUUAAGCAUAUCAAUAAGCGGGGA
This 328-nucleotide unclassified non-coding RNA is filed under the name soil metagenome. RNAcentral describes it as "partial contains 5.8S ribosomal RNA, internal transcribed spacer 2, and large subunit ribosomal RNA". The stretch from base 1 to 120 matches the Rfam family "5.8S ribosomal RNA", at positions 35 to 154 of the family's 154-position model. The record is from RNAcentral.